This 253-nucleotide ribosomal RNA is filed under the name uncultured bacterium. RNAcentral describes it as "partial 16S ribosomal RNA". It matches the Rfam family "Bacterial small subunit ribosomal RNA", at positions 524 to 776 of the family's 1533-position model. The record is from RNAcentral.
UACGUAGGGAGCAAGCGUUGUUCGGAUUUACUGGGCGUAAAGGGCGCGUAGGCGGCAAUUCAAGUCAUCUGUGAAAUCUCCGGGCUUAACUCGGAACGGUCAGAUGAUACUGCUUUGCUAGAGUGCAGAAGGGGCAAUCGGAAUUCUCGGUGUAGCGGUGAAAUGCGUAGAUAUCGAGAGGAACACCAGAGGUGAAGACGGGUGGCUGGGCUGACACUGACGCUGAGGCGCGAAAGCCAGGGGAGCAAACGGG